UACAGAGGUCCCAAGCGUUGUUCGGAUUCACUGGGCGUAAAGGGUGCGUAGGCGGUCGGGUAAGUCUGAUGUGAAAUCUCACAGCUUAACUGUGAAACUGCAUUGGAUACUAUCCGGCUAGAGGAAUGGAGGGGAGACUGGAAUACUUGGUGUAGCAGUGAAAUGCGUAGAUAUCAAGUGGAACACCAGUGGCGAAGGCGGGUCUCUGGACAGUUCCUGACACUGAGGCACGAAGGCCAGGGGAGCAAACGGG
Molecule: ribosomal RNA, 253 nt
Filed under: uncultured bacterium
Lineage: Bacteria
Description: partial 16S ribosomal RNA
Rfam family: Bacterial small subunit ribosomal RNA
Source: RNAcentral